Molecule: ribosomal RNA, 250 nt
Filed under: uncultured bacterium
Lineage: Bacteria
Description: partial 16S ribosomal RNA
Rfam family: Bacterial small subunit ribosomal RNA
Source: RNAcentral
UAAGGAAUAUUGGACAAUGGGCGAGAGCCUGAUCCAGCCAUGCCGCGUGCAGGAAGAAGGCCCUAUGGGUCGUAAACUGCUUUUGAACCAGAGAAAACCCGAGUACGUGUACUCGGCUGAUAGUAUGGUUAGAAUAAGCAUCGGCUAACUUCGUGCCAGCAGCCGCGGUAAGACGAAGGAUGCAAGCGUUAUCCGGAUUCAUUGGGUUUAAAGGGAGCGUAGGCGGACUUGUAAGUCAGUGGUGAAAUCU